UUCCUGGAGAGUCCAGGAUGUAAACUUGAAACUCUGAGAUUGGAGACCUGUGAUUUGUCAAAGAUCAGCUGUGAUUAUCUGGCAGCAGCGCUGAAGUCCAACCCCUCCCAUCUGAGAGAGCUGUACCUGUGGGGAAACAACCUGCAGGAUCCAGAUGUGAAGCAGCUGUCUGAUCUUAAGGAGAGUCCAGACUGCAGACUGGAGACUCUGAGGUGGAGAUGGUGGUAAACAGGACGGUGUGUGCUGAGAGAGGAGGAGCUGUGUCCUGA
This is a long non-coding RNA of Oreochromis niloticus (Nile tilapia), 269 nucleotides long. RefSeq lists it as uncharacterized. Lineage: Eukaryota; Metazoa; Chordata; Actinopteri; Cichliformes; Cichlidae. The record is from RefSeq and is a predicted model, not a curated record. The transcript is spliced from 3 exons.